AUGGCUGAGUUAGUAGAGCAUUGGAUUGUCACGCCAAGGUUCUAAGUUCAAAUCUUGGU
RNAcentral lists this transfer RNA (59 nucleotides) under Trichomalopsis sarcophagae. It matches the Rfam family "tRNA", at positions 7 to 64 of the family's 71-position model. From Rfam's summary of the family: Transfer RNA (tRNA) molecules are approximately 80 nucleotides in length. Their secondary structure includes four short double-helical elements and three loops (D, anti-codon, and T loops). The record is from Rfam by way of RNAcentral. Lineage: Eukaryota; Metazoa; Arthropoda; Insecta; Hymenoptera; Pteromalidae.